AUUGAACGCUGGCGGCAUGCCUUACACAUGCAAGUCGAACGGCAGCGGACCUUCGGGUGCCGGCGAGUGGCGAACGGGUGAGUAAUAUAUCGGAACGUACCUUUCAGUGGGGGAUAACGUAGCGAAAGUUACGCUAAUACCGCAUAUUCUGUGAGCAGGAAAGCAGGGGAUCGCAAGACCUUGCGCUGAUUGAGCGGCCGAUAUCAGAUUAGCUAGUUGGUGAGGUAAAGGCUCACCAAGGCGACGAUCUGUAGCGGGUCUGAGAGGAUGAUCCGCCACACUGGAACUGAGACACGGUCCAGACUCCUACGGGAGGCAGCGGUGGGGAAUUUUGGACAAUGGGCGCAAGCCUGAUCCAGCCAUGCCGCGUGAGUGAAGAAGGACC
This 385-nucleotide ribosomal RNA is filed under the name uncultured bacterium. RNAcentral's name for it is "bacterial SSU rRNA". It matches the Rfam family "Bacterial small subunit ribosomal RNA", at positions 30 to 417 of the family's 1533-position model. The record is from RNAcentral.